GGUUAAGUUAGAAAGGGCGCACGGUGGAUGCCUUGACACUAGGAGUCGAUGAAGGACGGGACUAACGCCGAUAUGCUUCGGGGAGCUGUAAGUAAGCUUUGAUCCGAAGAUUUCCGAAUGGGGAAACCCACCAUACGUAAUGGUAUGGUAUCCUUAUCUGAAUACAUAGGGUAAGGAAGACAGACCCAGGGAACUGAAACAUCUAAGUACCUGGAGGAAGAGAAAGCAAAUGCGAUUUCCUGAGUAGCGGCGAGCGAAACGGAACAUAGCCCAAACCAAGAGGCUUGCCUCUUGGGGUUGUAGGACAUUCUAUACGGAGUUACAAAGGAACGAGGUAGACGAAGCGACCUGGAAAGGUCCGUCGUAGAGGGUAACAACCCCGUAGUCGAAACUUCGUUCUCUCUUGAAUGUAUCCUGAGUACGGCGGAACACGUGAAAUUCCGUCGGAAUCUGGGAGGACCAUCUCCCAAGGCUAAAUACUCCCUAGUGAUCGAUAGUGAACCAGUACCGUGAGGGAAAGGUGAAAAGCACCCCGGAAGGGGAGUGAAAGAGAUCCUGAAACCGUGUGCCUACAAAUAGUCAGAGCCCGUUAAUGGGUGAUGGUGUGCCUUUUGUAGAAUGAACCGGCGAGUUACGAUCCCGUGCGAGGUUAAGCUGAAGAGGCGGAGCCGCAGCGAAAGCGAGUCUGAAUAGGGCGUUUAGUACGUGGUCGUAGACCCGAAACCAGGUGAUCUACCCAUGUCCAGGGUGAAGUUCAGGUAACACUGAAUGGAGGCCCGAACCCACGCACGUUGAAAAGUGCGGGGAUGAGGUGUGGGUAGCGGAGAAAUUCCAAUCGAACCUGGAGAUAGCUGGUUCUCCCCGAAAUAGCUUUAGGGCUAGCCUUAAGUGUAAGAGUCUUGGAGGUAGAGCACUGAUUGGACUAGGGGUCCUCAUCGGAUUACCGAAUUCAGUCAAACUCCGAAUGCCAAUGACUUAUCCUUAGGAGUCAGACUGCGAGUGAUAAGAUCCGUAGUCAAAAGGGAAACAGCCCAGACCGCCAGCUAAGGUCCCAAAGUGUGUAUUAAGUGGAAAAGGAUGUGGAGUUGCUUAGACAACUAGGAUGUUGGCUUAGAAGCAGCCACCAUUUAAAGAGUGCGUAAUAGCUCACUAGUCGAGUGACUCUGCGCCGAAAAUGUACCGGGGCUAAAUACACCACCGAAGCUGCGGAUUGAUACCAAUGGUAUCAGUGGUAGGGGAGCGUUCUAAGGACAGUGAAGUCAGACCGGAAGGACUGGUGGAGUGCUUAGAAGUGAGAAUGCCGGUAUGAGUAGCGAAAGACGGGUGAGAAUCCCGUCCACCGAAUGCCUAAGGUUUCCUGAGGAAGGCUCGUCCGCUCAGGGUUAGUCAGGACCUAAGCCGAGGCCGACAGGCGUAGGCGAUGGACAACAGGUUGAUAUUCCUGUACCACCUCUUUAUCGUUUGAGCAAUGGAGGGACGCAGAAGGAUAGAAGAAGCGUGCGAUUGGUUGUGCACGUCCAAGCAGUUAGGCUGAUAAGUAGGCAAAUCCGCUUAUCGUGAAGGCUGAGCUGUGAUGGGGAAGCUCCUUAUGGAGCGAAGUCUUUGAUUCCCCGCUGCCAAGAAAAGCUUCUAGCGAGAUAAAAGGUGCCUGUACCGCAAACCGACACAGGUAGGCGAGGAGAGAAUCCUAAGGUGUGCGAGAGAACUCUGGUUAAGGAACUCGGCAAAAUGACCCCGUAACUUCGGGAGAAGGGGUGCUUUCUUAACGGAAAGCCGCAGUGAAUAGGCCCAAGCGACUGUUUAGCAAAAACACAGCUCUCUGCGAAGCCGUAAGGCGAAGUAUAGGGGGUGACACCUGCCCGGUGCUGGAAGGUUAAGGAGAGGGGUUAGCGUAAGCGAAGCUCUGAACUGAAGCCCCAGUAAACGGCGGCCGUAACUAUAACGGUCCUAAGGUAGCGAAAUUCCUUGUCGGGUAAGUUCCGACCCGCACGAAAGGUGUAACGAUUUGGGCACUGUCUCAACCAGAGACUCGGUGAAAUUAUAGUACCUGUGAAGAUGCAGGUUACCCGCGACAGGACGGAAAGACCCCGUGGAGCUUUACUGUAGCCUGAUAUUGAAUUUUGGUACAGUUUGUACAGGAUAGGCGGGAGCCUUUGAAACCGGAGCGCUAGCUUCGGUGGAGGCGCUGGUGGGAUACCGCCCUGACUGUAUUGAAAUUCUAACCUACGGGUCUUAUCGACCCGGGAGACAGUGUCAGGUGGGCAGUUUGACUGGGGCGGUCGCCUCCUAAAGUGUAACGGAGGCGCCCAAAGGUUCCCUCAGAAUGGUUGGAAAUCAUUCGUAGAGUGCAAAGGCAUAAGGGAGCUUGACUGCGAGACCUACAAGUCGAGCAGGGACGAAAGUCGGGCUUAGUGAUCCGGUGGUUCCGCAUGGAAGGGCCAUCGCUCAACGGAUAAAAGCUACCCCGGGGAUAACAGGCUUAUCUCCCCCAAGAGUCCACAUCGACGGGGAGGUUUGGCACCUCGAUGUCGGCUCAUCGCAUCCUGGGGCUGUAGUCGGUCCCAAGGGUUGGGCUGUUCGCCCAUUAAAGCGGUACGCGAGCUGGGUUCAGAACGUCGUGAGACAGUUCGGUCCCUAUCCGUCGUGGGCGUAGGAAAUUUGAGAGGAGCUGUCCUUAGUACGAGAGGACCGGGAUGGACGCACCGCUGGUGUACCAGUUGUUCUGCCAAGGGCAUAGCUGGGUAGCUAUGUGCGGAAGGGAUAAGUGCUGAAAGCAUCUAAGCAUGAAGCCCCCCUCAAGAUGAGAUUUCCCAUAGCGUAAGCUAGUAAGAUCCCUGAAAGAUGAUCAGGUUGAUAGGUUCGAGGUGGAAGCAUGGUGACAUGUGGAGCUGACGAAUACUAAUAGAUCGAGGACUUAACCAU
Bacillus anthracis str. 'Ames Ancestor' is the source of this 2922-nucleotide ribosomal RNA. It matches the Rfam family "Bacterial large subunit ribosomal RNA". The record is from Rfam. Lineage: Bacteria; Bacillati; Bacillota; Bacilli; Caryophanales; Bacillaceae.